Long non-coding RNA from Ruditapes philippinarum (Manila clam), 452 nucleotides. RefSeq lists it as uncharacterized. The record is from RefSeq and is a predicted model, not a curated record. The transcript is spliced from 3 exons. Lineage: Eukaryota; Metazoa; Mollusca; Bivalvia; Venerida; Veneridae.
ACAGAGAAUCUACUUGAUGUUUUAGGAAUUUUAGAGAUAUUGUUUUGUUUAAGAUGUUUAAGUAUAGUUAUGGUAAAUAAGAAUGACAAGAAGAAUCACCUUGGACAAGAAGAUAUACAACAAAAUCAGGCUAGUGGGACCAGUUCUUACUUUGAGAUGCCAGGUGAAUAAUGAUAUGCAGUAUUGAGCCAGAAAAGGUGAACACAGCCACAUGAAGUUCUCCGAGGAAAUAGAAGCAGAGCACUGAAACAGACAUCAAUAAAAGAAAUAGUAGUUUGAAUAAUCAGAAACAUUUGAUCAAAUUUAUGAUUUGAACAGUUCCUCACCGACAGACUUCCAGCAAAAUAAUUGUAUAAAUAAAGUGUUUGAUUCCAAGAAAACCAGUAAAAAACAAAAGACUUGCUGCUAGAAAUGAAUAUUGUUUUUGUUAUAGUGAAUGUAAGAUGAUUGAA